Molecule: ribosomal RNA, 820 nt
Filed under: uncultured bacterium
Lineage: Bacteria
Description: bacterial SSU rRNA
Rfam family: Bacterial small subunit ribosomal RNA
Source: RNAcentral
GAACGCUGGCGGCGUGCCUAACACAUGCAAGUCGAACGAGUCCACCCUUCGGGGUGAGGCGAGUGGCGGACGGGUGAGUAACACGUGAGCGACCUAUCCUCAUAUGGGGGACAACCCGGGGAAACCCGGGCUAAUACCGCAUGGUCGGGACUCCUGCAUGGGAGACCUGGGAAAGACGGCCUCUUAACAAUGCUGUCGUGUGAGGCGGGGCUCGCGGGCUAUCAGCUAGUUGGUAGGGUAAAGGCCUACCAAGGCAACGACGGCUAGGGGGUCUGAGAGGACGACCCCCCACAUUGGAACUGAGACACGGUCCAGACUCCUACGGGAGGCAGCAGUGGGGAAUUUUGGGCAAUGGCCGAAAGGCUGACCCAGCGACGCCGCGUGCGGGAGGACGCCCUUCGGGGUGUAAACCGCUGUCAGGGGGGAAGAAACCUCCAGGUCGGAAUAUGGCCUGGACUUGACGGUACCCCCAAAGGAAGCACCGGCUAACUCUGUGCCAGCAGCCGCGGUAAUACAGAGGGUGCAAGCGUUGUUCGGAAUUACUGGGCGUAAAGCGCGCGCAGGCGGGACUGCAAGUCGGGAGUGAAAGACCGGGGCUCAACUCCGGGGCGGCUUCCGAAACUGUAGACCUGGGGACCGGUAGAGGCAGGUGGAAUUCCCGGUGUAGCGGUGGAAUGCGUAGAUAUCGGGAAGAACACCGGUGGCGAAAGCGGCCUGCUGGGCCGGGUCCGACGCUGAGCGCGAAAGCGUGGGGAGCAAACAGAUAGAUACCCUGGUAGUCACGCUGUAACGAUGGGCACUAGUGCCGGGGGGAGCGACC